GACGAACGCUGGCGGCGUGCUUAACACAUGCAAGUCGAACGGAAAGGCCCUGCUUGCAGGGUACUCGAGUGGUGAACGGGUGAGUAACACGUGGGUGAUCUGCCCUGCACUUCGGGAUAAGCUUGGGAAACUGGGUCUAAUACCGGAUAGGAGCCAUCUUUAGUGUGGUGGUUGGAAAGUUGUUUCGGUGUAGGAUGAGCUCGCGGCCUAUCAGCUUGGUGGUGGGGUAAUGGCCUACCAAGGCGGCGACGGGUAGCCGGCCUGAGAGGGUGUACGGCCACAUUGGGACGGAGCUACGGCCCAGACUCCUACGGGAGGCAGCAGUGGGGAAUAUUGCACAAUGGGCGCAAGCCUGAUGCAGCGACGCCGCGUGGGGGAUGAAGGCCUUCGGGUUGUAAACUCCUUUCGCUAGGGACGAAGCGUUGUUGUGACGGUACCUAGAUAAGAAGCACCGGCUAACUACGUG
Molecule: ribosomal RNA, 466 nt
Filed under: uncultured bacterium
Lineage: Bacteria
Description: partial 16S ribosomal RNA
Rfam family: Bacterial small subunit ribosomal RNA
Source: RNAcentral